Molecule: ribosomal RNA, 497 nt
Filed under: uncultured bacterium
Lineage: Bacteria
Description: partial 16S ribosomal RNA
Rfam family: Bacterial small subunit ribosomal RNA
Source: RNAcentral
GAUGAACGCUGGCGGCGUGCCUAAUAUAUGCGAGUCGAGCGAACAGACGAGGAGCUUGCUCCUCUGACGUUAGCGGCGGACGGGUGAGUAACACGUGGAUAACCUACCUAUAAGACUGGGAUAACUUCGGGAAACCGGAGCUAAUACCGGAUAAUAUAUUGAACCGCAUGGUUCAAUAGUGAAAGACGGUUUUGCUGUCACUUAUAGAUGGAUCCGCGCCGCAUUAGCUAGUUGGUAAGGUAACGGCUUACCAAGGCAACGAUGCGUAGCCGACCUGAGAGGGUGAUCGGCCACACUGGAACUGAGACACGGUCCAGACUCCUACGGGAGGCAGCAGUAGGGAAUCUUCCGCAAUGGGCGAAAGCCUGACGGAGCAACGCCGCGUGAGUGAUGAAGGUCUUCGGAUCGUAAAACUCUGUUAUUAGGGAAGAACAAAUGUGUAAGUAACUAUGCACGUCUUGACGGUACCUAAUCAGAAAGCCACGGCUAACUACGUG